Molecule: ribosomal RNA, 501 nt
Filed under: uncultured bacterium
Lineage: Bacteria
Description: bacterial SSU rRNA
Rfam family: Bacterial small subunit ribosomal RNA
Source: RNAcentral
UCGUGCGAGAAAGGGCUUCGGCCCCGGUACAGCGGCGCACGGGUGAGUAACACGUAGGUAAUCUACCCCCAGGUGGUGGAUAACCUUCCGAAAGGAGGGCUAAUACAGCAUGAGACCACGACCCCGAAAGGGGAUGAGGUCAAAGCCGGCCUCUUCACGAAAGCUGGCGCCAGGGGAUGAGCCUGCGGCCCAUCAGCUAGUUGGUAGGGUAAUGGCCUACCAAGGCAAAGACGGGUAGCUGGUCUGAGAGGAUGAUCAGCCACACUGGAACUGAGACACGGUCCAGACUCCUACGGGAGGCAGCAGUGGGGAAUCUUGCGCAAUGGGCGAAAGCCUGACGCAGCGACGCCGCGUGAGUGAUGAAGGCCCUCGGGUUGUAAAGCUCUGUGGAGGGGGACGAAUAAGUCGUGGCUAAUAUCCACGAUGAUGACGGUACCCCUUUAGCAAGCACCGGCUAACUCUGUGCCAGCAGCCGCGGUAAGACAGAGGGUGCAAACGUUG